This 246-nucleotide long non-coding RNA is filed under the name Elaeis guineensis (African oil palm). Its description in RNAcentral is "long non-coding RNA (EGUI_LNC071281)". The record is from RNAcentral. Lineage: Eukaryota; Viridiplantae; Streptophyta; Magnoliopsida; Arecales; Arecaceae.
UGAUACCACAUGAUUAUAUAUUUUUUUAUCAAACUAGAAUAAGAGAUAUAAUUUAUGAAAAAUUUUGAUAUAAGAAUGAUUUGAAUUGACAAUCUGACUAUGUAAAGGAUCCCACCAAUGGGGGUAUAUAUGUUGGCAAUUGAUUUAUCCUGAGAGUUUAUGUCGUCAGUGAGACCAGCAAUAAACCACCAAUAAGACCACCAGUUCUAAAGGACUUUACUAUCAAAUGAUUUGUAGCUCACCACA